UGGGGAAUUUUGGACAAUGGGCGCAAGCCUGAUCCAGCAAUGCCGCGUGCAGGAUGAAGGCCUUCGGGUUGUAAAUUGCUUUUGUACGGAACGAAAAGCUUCUGGUUAAUACCUGGGAGUCAUGACGGUACCGUAAGAAUAAGCACCGGCUAACUACGUGCCAGCAGCCGCGGUAAUACGUAGGGUGCGAGCGUUAAUCGGAAUUACUGGGCGUAAAGCGUGCGCAGGCGGUUAUGUAAGACAGAGGUGAAAUCCCCGGGCUCAACCUGGGAAUUGCCUUUGUGACUGCAUGGCUAGAGUGCGGCAGAGGGGGAUGGAAUUCCGCGUGUAGCAGUGAAAUGCGUAGAUAUGCGGAGGAACACCGAUGGCGAAGACAAUCCCCUGGGCCUGCACUGACGCUCAUGCACGAAAGCGUGGGGAGCAAACA
RNAcentral lists this ribosomal RNA (427 nucleotides) under uncultured bacterium. RNAcentral's name for it is "bacterial SSU rRNA". It matches the Rfam family "Bacterial small subunit ribosomal RNA", at positions 355 to 774 of the family's 1533-position model. The record is from RNAcentral.